AGUAGCGGCGAGCGAACGGGGAGGAGCCCAGAGCCUGAAUCAGUGUGUGUGUUAGUGGAAGCGUCUGGAAAGGCGUGCGAUACAGGGUGACAGCCUCGUACACAAAAAUGCACAUAUUGUGAGCUCGAUGAGUAGGGCGGGACACGUGGUAUCCUGUCUGAAUAUGGGGGGACCAUCCUCCAAGGCUAAAUACUCCUGACUGACCGAUAGUGAACCAGUACCGUGAGGGAAAGGCGAAAAGAACCCCGGCGAGGGGAGUGAAAAAGAACCUGAAACCGUGUACGUACAAGCAGUGGGAGCCUCUUAAUGGGGUGACUGCGUACCUUUUGUAUAAUGGGUCAGCGACUUAUAUUCUGUAGCAAGGUUAACCGAAUAGGGGAGCCGAAGGGAAACCGAGUCUUAACUGGGCGUUAAGUUGCAGGGUAUAGACCCGAAACCCGGUGAUCUAGCCAUGGGCAGGUUGAAGGUUGGGUAACACUAACUGGAGGACCGAACCGACUAAUGUUGAAAAAUUAGCGGAUGACUUGUGGCUGGGGGUGAAAGGCCAAUCAAACCGGGAGAUAGCUGGUUCUCCCCGAAAGCUAUUUAGGUAGCGCCUCGUGAAUUCAUCUCCGGGGGUAGAGCACUGUUUCGGCAAGGGGGUCAUCCCGACUUACCAACCCGAUGCAAACUGCGAAUACCGGAGAAUGUUAUCACGGGAGACACACGGCGGGUGCUAACGUCCGUCGUGAAGAGGGAAACAACCCAGACCGCCAGCUAAGGUCCCAAAGUCAUGGUUAAGUGGGAAACGAUGUGGGAAGGCCCAGACAGCCAGGAUGUUGGCUUAGAAGCAGCCAUCAUUUAAAGAAAGCGUAAUAGCUCACUGGUCGAGUCGGCCUGCGCGGAAGAUGUAACGGGGCUAAACCAUGCACCGAAGCUGCGGCAGCGACACUAUGUGUUGUUGGGUAGGGGAGCGUUCUGUAAGCCUGUGAAGGUGGCCUGUGAGGGUUGCUGGAGGUAUCAGAAGUGCGAAUGCUGACAUAAGUAACGAUAAAGCGGGUGAAAAGCCCGCUCGCCGGAAGACCAAGGGUUCCUGUCCAACGUUAAUCGGGGCAGGGUGAGUCGACCCCUAAGGCGAGGCCGAAAGGCGUAGUCGAUGGGAAACAGGUUAAUAUUCCUGUACUUGGUGUUACUGCGAAGGGGGGACGGAGAAGGCUAUGUUGGCCGGGCGACGGUUGUCCCGGUUUAAGCGUGUAGGCUGGUUUUCCAGGCAAAUCCGGAAAACCAAGGCUGAGGCGUGAUGACGAGGCACUACGGUGCUGAAGCGACAAAUGCCCUGCUUCCAGGAAAAGCCUCUAAGCAUCAGGUAACAUCAAAUCGUACCCAAAACCGACACAGGUGGUCAGGUAGAGAAUACCAAGGCGCUUGAGAGAACUCGGGUGAAGGAACUAGGCAAAAUGGUGCCGUAACUUCGGGAGAAGGCACGCUGAUAUGUAGGUGAAGCGACUCGCUCGUGGAGCUGAAAUCAGUCGAAGAUACCAGCUGGCUGCAACUGUUUAUUAAAAACACAGCACUGUGCAAACACGAAAGUGGACGUAUACGGUGUGACGCCUGCCCGGUGCCGGAAGGUUAAUUGAUGGGGUUAGCGGUAACGCGAAGCUCUUGAUCGAAGCCCCGGUAAACGGCGGCCGUAACUAUAACGGUCCUAAGGUAGCGAAAUUCCUUGUCGGGUAAGUUCCGACCUGCACGAAUGGCGUAAUGAUGGCCAGGCUGUCUCCACCCGAGACUCAGUGAAAUUGAACUCGCUGUGAAGAUGCAGUGUACCCGCGGCAAGACGGAAAGACCCCGUGAACCUUUACUAUAGCUUGACACUGAACAUUGAGCCUUGAUGUGUAGGAUAGGUGGGAGGCUUUGAAGUGUGGACGCCAGUCUGCAUGGAGCCGACCUUGAAAUACCACCCUUUAAUGUUUGAUGUUCUAACGUUGGCCCGUAAUCCGGGUUGCGGACAGUGUCUGGUGGGUAGUUUGACUGGGGCGGUCUCCUCCUAAAGAGUAACGGAGGAGCACGAAGGUUGGCUAAUCCUGGUCGGACAUCAGGAGGUUAGUGCAAUGGCAUAAGCCAGCUUGACUGCGAGCGUGACGGCGCGAGCAGGUGCGAAAGCAGGUCAUAGUGAUCCGGUGGUUCUGAAUGGAAGGGCCAUCGCUCAACGGAUAAAAGGUACUCCGGGGAUAACAGGCUGAUACCGCCCAAGAGUUCAUAUCGACGGCGGUGUUUGGCACCUCGAUGUCGGCUCAUCACAUCCUGGGGCUGAAGUAGGUCCCAAGGGUAUGGCUGUUCGCCAUUUAAAGUGGUACGCGAGCUGGGUUUAGAACGUCGUGAGACAGUUCGGUCCCUAUCUGCCGUGGGCGCUGGAGAACUGAGGGGGGCUGCUCCUAGUACGAGAGGACCGGAGUGGACGCAUCACUGGUGUUCGGGUUGUCAUGCCAAUGGCACUGCCCGGUAGCUAAAUGCGGAAGAGAUAAGUGCUGAAAGCAUCUAAGCACGAAACUUGCCCCGAGAUGAGUUCUCCCUGACUCCUUGAGGGUCCUGAAGGAACGUUGAAGACGACGACGUUGAUAGGCCGGGUGUGUAAGCGCAGCGAUGCGUUGAGCUAACCGGUACUAAUGAACCGUGAGGCUUAACCUU
RNAcentral lists this ribosomal RNA (2664 nucleotides) under Escherichia coli. RNAcentral's name for it is "bacterial LSU rRNA". It matches the Rfam family "Bacterial large subunit ribosomal RNA". The record is from RNAcentral. Lineage: Bacteria; Pseudomonadati; Pseudomonadota; Gammaproteobacteria; Enterobacterales; Enterobacteriaceae.